GUUUGACCUGGCUCAGGAUGAACGCUGGCGGCGUGCUUAAUACAUGCAAGUCGAACGGAGAGGUAUAGCGAUAUAGCUCUUAGUGGCGAACGGGUGAGUAACGCGUUGGUGACCUGUCCCGAAGAGAGGGAUAACAGCUCGAAAGGGCUGCUAAUACCGCAUAAUCUGUAAGCGGUUAGAGGCGUUUACAGGAAAGCAGCAAUGCGCUUUGGGAGGGGCCUGCGUCCCAUCAGCUAGUUGGUAAGGUAAAGGCUUACCAAGGCGACGACGGGUAGGGGGCCUGAGAGGGUGAUCCCCCACACUGGCACUGAAACACGGGCCAGACACCUACGGGUGGCAGCAGUAGGGAAUAUUGCACAAUGGGCGAAAGCCUGAUGCAGCAACGCCGCGUGCGCGAUGAAGGCCUUCGGGUCGUAAAGCGCUUUUCGGGGAGACGAGGAAGGACGGUAUCCCCGGAAUAAGGAUCGGCUAACUACGUGCCAGCAGCCGCGGUAAAACGUAGGAUCCGAGCGUUAUCCGAAUUCACUGGGCGUAAAGCGCGUGCAGGCGGUCUGAUAAGUUGGAUGUGAAAUCUCCUGGCUCAACUAGGAGAGGCCGUUCAAUACUGUUGGACUAGAGGGCAGUAGAGGGAGGUGGAAUUCCCGGUGUAGUGGUGAAAUGCGUAGAUAUCGGGAGGAACACCAGUGGCGAAGGCGGCCUCCUGGACUGUACCUGACGCUCAGACGCGAAAGCUAGGGGAGCAAACGGGAUUAGAAACCCCGGUAGUCCUAGCUGUAAACGAUGUAGACUGGGUGUUGGUGGGGUAAAAUCCGCCGGUGCCGAAGCAAACGCGAUAAGUCUACCGCCUGGGGACUACGGGCCGCAAGGUUUAAAACUCAAAGGGAAUUUGACG
This 892-nucleotide ribosomal RNA is filed under the name uncultured bacterium. RNAcentral's name for it is "bacterial SSU rRNA". It matches the Rfam family "Bacterial small subunit ribosomal RNA", at positions 11 to 915 of the family's 1533-position model. The record is from RNAcentral.